GGUCCGGUAGCUCAGCUGAAUAGAGCAACAGCCUUCUAAGCUGUGGGUCACAGGUUUGAAUCCUGUCCGGAUCA
RNAcentral lists this transfer RNA (74 nucleotides) under Chitinophagaceae bacterium. RNAcentral's name for it is "tRNA-Arg". It matches the Rfam family "tRNA". Rfam says of the family: Transfer RNA (tRNA) molecules are approximately 80 nucleotides in length. Their secondary structure includes four short double-helical elements and three loops (D, anti-codon, and T loops). Lineage: Bacteria; Pseudomonadati; Bacteroidota; Chitinophagia; Chitinophagales; Chitinophagaceae. RNAcentral also lists the same sequence under 6 other names. The record is from RNAcentral.